AAAGGUAAAUGUUUUGAAUUGUUUCAGGACAUUCAGGCAGCCAUGACAAAGAUAUUCCUGAAAGGGACUUGGAACUGCUACAGAAGUGGCCAGAAGUAUGUGAAAUGAGACCCUUGGAAGCUGUGAAAUAUGUUAAGAUCCUUGAGAAAAUGAGAGGCAAAGCAACUUCAGUACAUGUCUUCUGACUUACAGGCAAGUGACUUGCUUCAGCAUUACCUGCUACUGCCCCAGGAUUCCAUCUACUAGAGGACAUGGCUGAGAUACAGUUGUGCAGUGACACUUACUAAGCGUAUAUGUUUUACAGUGAAAUCUGUCAGGCCCGGAGUGAUGCUGCAAAUGUGGACCCUUUGGGUAUGAAAGAGAGUCAAGUCCCCU
This 375-nucleotide long non-coding RNA is filed under the name Fukomys damarensis (Damara mole-rat). RNAcentral's name for it is "lncRNA (ENSFDAG00000027882.1)". Lineage: Eukaryota; Metazoa; Chordata; Mammalia; Rodentia; Bathyergidae. The record is from RNAcentral.